This 306-nucleotide long non-coding RNA is filed under the name Gallus gallus (chicken). RNAcentral describes it as "long non-coding RNA NONGGAT001515". Lineage: Eukaryota; Metazoa; Chordata; Aves; Galliformes; Phasianidae. The record is from RNAcentral.
UUGGUCCCUGAGAGGCAUGAGAGAAGGAGAAAAUUUGUGAAUGCAUUUCUCGAGUUUGGAUUUGCGUCAAGAAGAGAAGGUGAUGGUCUUCAGACUCUCUGCCCUCCAGAUCUGAAGACACAUUUGCGUUUUGUCUUGAGAGUGAGGCAGACCCAGUCCAACUCUGGAACGGGAAAGAAAAACGGAGGAAGGAAGAGAGCAGAAUGAGGAGGAAAUGAAUGAUGGCAAAGGCCUGCUGCAUCAUCACGUCUGUCCUGGCACACAGCUAUCUGAUCUUCAAGGACUGUUGUAAGAUAAGUUUUAAAU